Long non-coding RNA from Myotis brandtii (Brandt's bat), 1445 nucleotides. RefSeq lists it as uncharacterized. The record is from RefSeq and is a predicted model, not a curated record. The transcript has 2 exons. NCBI's taxonomy places the organism in Eukaryota, Metazoa, Chordata, Mammalia, Chiroptera, Vespertilionidae.
UUUUGUUUUUAAUUCUUAUUUACAUUAAUUGAAGACGUAAAAACCAUUCAAUUGGGAUUCUAGUUUAAAAAUUGCUACUAAUAAGGUGAUGUCACCUCCUACAAUUUAAUAAACCUUUACAAUUCUCAAUUUCCUCACCUAUAAAAUGACAUUUAGACUAAAUAAUCUUUAAGGUUCCUUGCAGUGAAAUCUAAUGUUCUGAGAUUUUAUCUAAAUCAAAUUAUUAAGAAUUAUUUCUGUUAAAGCUCAGCUAGCUUCCAUCUUAUUUGUUGCAAUCCUAAGAAAAAUUAGAACAGCACAGGUAUAUUUUUAAUGAUUUAAGGCAUUUUUUUGGAAAUUCUGUUUCAAUUAAACUAAGGCAUUUUUGUUCAAAUUUUUAAUAACUGCUUUCUCUAUUCUUAUCUAAUUAGCUCUACCUCCUGAUAUUUCUCAUCUAACUACAUUCAAGAUUCACUGAUUAUUUUAUUUGAUUUCUGAGCCUAAAAGGAGGCUACAUUAUGGGCUCUGAGUUUAUAUUACAAAGUUUUUUGUUUGUUUUCCUUGUAUCUAUUCCUAAGUAAUCAUAUUUUUUCACAUGCUUAUAGUUUUGAUAUUAAUAAUCCUACUUACCUCCUCACAGCUUAAUUUACACUUGAUCUUAGCUAAAAGGCCAAGAAGCAAUACCAGCUUAACUUACAUUUUAUCUAUAAAAGGAAAUAUUCUGGAAGGUGACUAUAGAAAUACCAUAUUUAUUUUUGAGAGGUUAUUACUUAGUGCUUAGAACUGAUUCUUUAUCUUAUUAGUUUAUUGGUUAAACUAAUUUGUUGUUACAUAGUAAAAUACAUAUGAGGUUCAUUUAUAAAAACUAGAGAAGUAACACAUCUAAGAAUGUUUGAAAUUCAUUUUUUGCUAACAUUUUGCUAAACGAAUUUUGCUAAAUUUAAAACUUUCAUAUCAGAUUCUUAAUGAGCUAUCAACUAAUAAUAGACUAAUGGGCUCAAAAAAUGUUCAAUUAACUAAAAUGCAAGUUUUAAAUAGUUCACUGCUAUGUCUUAAAACUUUGAAUUAAUGAACUCAAAGUAAAAGAACAUUUAUCUCCUUAUUAGUUUUGUAUAAUUGUUAUAGUAUUUGUACUGGCAAAUAUUUUAUUUUAAGGUGAUAGUAUUGUGAAAACACAACAGUGGAGGAGUUCUUAAUCACAUAAUCUAGUCAUUUUACCUUCAAUGAUGCCAAAAGAUCCUAAAUAGAUAAAUCUUAUUGUGAAAAUCAUCAUCUGUGGAUAACCUUUUCUCAGUUUUUUUUCUUUCUGGUUUCCUGAUUGAGGAUUUAAUCAAUAAGUACUAUUCCCUUAUGUUUAAUUGAACUUCCAUAAAGCAGAUAUUUAUGGACUUCAUGUACGUUUUUAUUCUCUUCACAAAGUGAAAAAACAUAGCCUUAAAAAAAUAAACUUGUUUUAAUAAUCAUUA